GACGGGGAUCUUUACCUGAGUUUGCGGCUCCCAACCCAUUGUUGAACGUUACCAAACUGUUGCCUCGGCGGGGUCACGCCCCGGGUGCGUCGCAGCCCCGGAACCAGGCGCCCGCCGGAGGAACCAACCAAACUCUUUCUGUAGUCCCCUCGCGGACGUAUUUCUUACAGCUCUGAGCAAAAAUUCAAAAUGAAUCAAAACUUUCAACAACGGAUCUCUUGGUUCUGGCAUCGAUGAAGAACGCAGCGAAAUGCGAUAAGUAAUGUGAAUUGCAGAAUUCAGUGAAUCAUCGAAUCUUUGAACGCACAUUGCGCCCGCCAGUAUUCUGGCGGGCAUGCCUGUCCGAGCGUCAUUUCAACCCUCGAACCCCUCCGGGGGAUCGGCGUUGGGGAUCGGGACCCCUCACACGGGUGCCGGCCCCGAAAUACAGUGGCGGUCUCGCCGCAGCCUCUCCUGCGCAGUAGUUUGCACAACUCGCACCGGGAGCGCGGCGCGUCCACGUCCGUAAAACACCCAACUUUCUGAAAUGUUGACCUCGGAUCAGGUAGGAAUACCCGCUGAACUUAAGCAUAUCAAUAAGCGGAGGAA
Molecule: ribosomal RNA, 588 nt
Filed under: Trichoderma asperellum
Lineage: Eukaryota; Fungi; Ascomycota; Sordariomycetes; Hypocreales; Hypocreaceae
Description: eukaryotic LSU rRNA
Rfam family: 5.8S ribosomal RNA (bases 199-352)
Source: RNAcentral